ACCCGCCCCCGAUGACAAGGUUGCCACAUGAGGCAGCCUUCCGUACCAGGAGUACGGAUAGUCGGGGGGUUUUAU
RNAcentral lists this non-coding RNA (75 nucleotides) under unclassified sequences. RNAcentral describes it as "DUF3800-IX RNA". It matches the Rfam family "DUF3800-IX RNA". Rfam says of the family: Actinobacteria, Firmicutes (1 example), Nitrospirae, Proteobacteria, Verrucomicrobia (1 example). Nearby to DUF3800 The record is from Rfam by way of RNAcentral.